Molecule: RNA transcript, 4030 nt
Organism: Tachysurus vachellii
Lineage: Eukaryota; Metazoa; Chordata; Actinopteri; Siluriformes; Bagridae
Gene: adrb3a
Gene name: adrenoceptor beta 3a
Exons: 4
Source: RefSeq, a predicted model, not a curated record
AAGAGAGCGUGAGGGUGCAGUGCUACAGUUCACUCGUACAUUUGCAGCAGAAGUGGCAAUGCUCUUUGAGCUUUGGCAGUCGAAUCACCUUUACUUUAUUGCACUCAAGGCACAGCAAAUUAAAAAACAAAACCCAACUAAAUGGACUAUGGCUACAGGCUGAUUGCAAAUCUGGAAUACACGAAGAUCGUUUUUGUUCUAUAAAAAAGUGAAGGCACUUUUUUUAAUGACUCUUCACAGUACUUUUUCACCUGGACUAAUUUCAACCAAGUGUUUCUCCAACAGUUUGUUUUCUUCAAGCCAUCUAGGAGAUCUUCAAGACAUCCACUGCAUGAACAUUUGUGGGGAAGAUGUAUUCUUCAGGAUGAAUGAUGGUGAAGUUAAAAGGAAUCAUCUGUUGUGUUCUUGAAGACGCUAUGAUAAUGUAUGAUCGCUUGGAUAUGUCUGUGUCAAAUCAAGCCUUGGUCUAAAGGAUCUCAUGCGAACUCCUGACAAAGAAACCACCCGUGUUUGAACUCACAUGUUCGGGGCCGUGUACGUGUACCAGGAAUGCCAUUUUACUCGUUGCUUGGACUUGUUCACUUUUUAAACGUCAAAAAGAAGAGUUCGCUUUUAGUCUUGUAGGUUCCUUUCAACUACAAAGAUGCACAACACGACUGAUCCAAAUCUGAGCGAGAUUAUAGACAAGACAGAUUACAGAUUUCUGAUACCUGUUGUGAUCAUUGUCAUCAUCAUCAUCUUGGGCAACCUGCUGGUCAUCAUUGCAAUCACACGGACAGCCCUGCUCCAGACUGUAACCAACAUCUUCAUCAUGUCAUUGGCAUGCGCCGAUCUCAUCAUGGGGGUUAUGGUGGUACCACUGGGAGCCACUAUAGUCAUAACAGGUAACUGGAAACUCGGUAAAACAUUGUGCAAUUUAUGGACGUCCGUGGACAUCCUGUGCGUUACUGCCAGCAUUGAGACACUGUGUGCAAUCGCAGUCGACCGAUACAUCGCGAUCACCAGACCCCUACGCCACAAGGUCCUGCUUAGCAAGUGGCGCGUUCGACUGAUUGUAUGCUUGGUGUGGGUUGUGUCUGCUCUCACCUCAUUCCCCGUCAUCAUCACCAACAUUUGGCAUGCUAAAGAUAAGAAAGCUGAAGAUUGCUACAACAGUAACAAUUGUUGUGAUUUCAUCACGAACACAGGUUUCGCAAUUGUAUCAUCAGGCAUUUCGUUUUACAUCCCUCUAGUCAUCAUGAUCUUCGUCUACACCAAUGUGUUUGUCAUUGCUACGAGGCAGGUGCAGCUAAUAGGGAAGAGUCGGCAACGUUUCCAGAACGUAAAUGCAACCACCAAUGGCAACAACAACCUCCCAUCGAGCGCAAGCAGUAGCAGUCUUACAUCAGGUAGACGGAAAUCCACACGACGAAGACCGUCCAAAUUAAGCGUGGUGAAAGAGCACAAGGCCUUAAAGACUCUGGGUAUCAUCAUGGGAUGCUUUACUCUCUGCUGGCUGCCCUUCUUCGUAGCCAACAUCAUCGACACCUAUAAUCGUGACCUGAUACCGUCAGAUGUUUUCAGAUUAUUGAACUGGCUCGGCUACAUUAAUUCCGGCCUCAACCCCAUAAUCUACUGCAGAAGUAAAGAAUUCCGUACAGCCUUCAAGAGCCUUCUAGGAUGUCCCUGGCUGCAAAUUCCCAGCAUGAACUACCUUUAUAAGGAGCUCAGGACUCGAUGCCCGUGUUUCCUGGGCUUGACAGAAGCAGGCAUGAACGGAGCUUUCCAAAAGUCUGUUAGCUCACGAGGGACAAGGCCAGAUUCUGUGCCACAGGAAGAUGGGGACGAAAGUCUAGGAAGCAGUCAGAGUAGCUACAGGAGUGAAAAAACGUCACCGGGACCUGUACGCUCGAAUGGCAGCACACACUUCAGUGAUUUCUCAGAAAUGGAGAAUGAAUUGUCCUCGGAUAUUGACGCUACAUGUCCGUGUCCUUGUUGGAGUGCUGUAAUAUAAACUUUCCAAUGGCAGAAACCUUACUGGUGACACUGGUUUCUCAAUUACUGCUGAGCAUCAAUAAAGUCAACAAGCACAUAAAACUGACUUUCUGCACUGAGAAUUACACCUUACAGGGGCUGGGAGAAUGAGACGAGUGUCAGCUGAACUGAAAGACAAAGCGAGAGAAAGAAAGAAAGAAAGAAAGAAAGAAAGAAAGAAAGAAAGAAAGAAAGAAAGAAAGGGAGAGACGCAAAAAGAGAGAGACGAAUCAUUUCAGCUGAGAUUGGAUAAACUUUCUGGCCAGACUGCAAAGAGCCACAAAAGCAACCUUACAAAUGACUGCGUUGAAAUACACAAACAAGAUAAACCAAAUGGGAACGGCUGAUCGGACGGUGGCACGCACGGAGACGGCGCGCGCAAAACAGCGGAUGGACAGCGGGAAGCGCGUCCAGGCUGCUAUUACUCUUGGCCUUUAGGGAAAAUAACUGGAUUAAACCAGUUAAGAUGGGCCGGUGUGAUGGACAACAAUCUAUAAGGGUUUGGUGGAAGCCAAGUUGGAUCCGGAGUAGUCUCUAAGCACUCCGAUAUUCUCACAGGCCGACUUCGUUCCAGCAAGUUUAUAUCUUUCCCAAAACAAAGACUUGGAAAAAAAAAACACUCAUGGCGCACAAACACCUACAGACUUUUUUUUUCGUUGUUUUUUUUUUCUUUUGGAAGCACAACGGAUGUAAUCUGUUAAAGAAUACAGAAAGUAGUGGUUGAAAGCAAAUUUUGUACUUCAUGUUAAAUUAUUUCCUAUUUAUUUGUUAUCCCCAAUUUUACCUGUGAAUGUGCUAAAGAGUUUAUCAGAAUGAUACAUGUAAUGUUAUACAGGUUCACGUCUGUUCACCGACAUGUACAGCUAAUAGUAUGGUAGCUAAUGUUUUCUGUUUUUUUUCUUCAGUUCGUCCUUAGUAAAAGUCUUUUAUAAGCUGCAAUCCCCAUGUGCACAAAAACUCAACACUUUGGCUCACAUCUCCAAAAAGAAAAAAAAAUCUAAAUGAAUUCCUCUUUUCAUUCACUUUCAGAGCUGCUAAAGUCUUUUUAAUUUUAUUUCUUUCAUAGACAAAAGGCCGAUUAAUGUGUAUCGGUCGUCUGAUCCCUAAGGCAUGACGCACAAUAUUAUUCUGUAUUAUACUUUUUUUAUAAAUAGCUUUUCAUACUCCCAACAUAGAAUUAUUCUAACGUUGAAAGAAAAAAAAACAAGCUAGGAAGAACAGAUUAUGCUUUUUCUAAUGUGAGGCGUUGGUGUUUCAUUAUCAGGUGCAAUUGCUGAGGAUUUCAAUUUCCGUGAGGAAAGUAACCCGAAAAGGAAAAUGAAUAUCAAUAAUAAUAAUAAAUGUAUUAAAUGCAAUGACGGACACACUAUCUGUGGAUCUCAGGAUAUUUGUUGUGGCCUCUGAUACAGUUCUGUUUUUUUUUUUUUGGGUUUUUUUUUUUUUUUUUUUUUUCAGAGGAAUCAGUCGGUAGCAUCCAUACUGCUUUUUGAGCUCUGUACAUAAUUCCUUGUUCACUGUGAUUUUCUUGUAACAAUAACGAGCAGAUAAAUAACAGGAAAUAUGUAAAAAUAAAUAAAUAAAUAAACAAAUAAAUAUCCAGGGCUGUACAAUUAUGUUUGCCAAAAAAAAAAAAAACAACAAAAGAAAGAAAUAAGAAAGAGUGAGAGAGACUUUUAUUAUUAUUAUUUCAAUGUUGUAAUUGUGGACUUUAUCAAUUUGUAAUUGUGUUAGAAAGUGAUAUAUUGAAACCAAAUUUUGGAGUUAUGAACAAUUCUUCAGAGAGAUUUAAACUAUAAAUUAAAGAUUGAACUAAAGCAAAACACAAACAUCGGAACCAGUGACAGAAUAUUUGAAUGUGUUAUCUGAAAACAGCUGCUUUGAAACCAAAAAAAAAAGCCUUAUUUCAGUGUAAAUGUACCACUAUAUACAACAUCCAGUGUUGAUUGUGAAUGUGUGAUUAAUUAUGCAGCCCUAUAAACGUAUAUAUUAUAAAUAAAUAAGUUAAAACUCUUCAAAA